This 24-nucleotide non-coding RNA is filed under the name Arabidopsis thaliana (thale cress). Lineage: Eukaryota; Viridiplantae; Streptophyta; Magnoliopsida; Brassicales; Brassicaceae. The record is from RNAcentral.
UAUUCCUGCAAUCCAAGAUCCGAA